This 305-nucleotide ribosomal RNA is filed under the name uncultured bacterium. RNAcentral's name for it is "bacterial SSU rRNA". It matches the Rfam family "Bacterial small subunit ribosomal RNA", at positions 335 to 658 of the family's 1533-position model. The record is from RNAcentral.
GACCUACGGGGCGCAGCAGUGGGGGAUAUUGCACAAUGGGGGCAACCCUGAUGCAGCGACGCCGCGUGAGCGAUGGAGUACUUCGGUAUGUAAAGCUCUGUCAGCAGGGAAGAGAAUGACGGUACCUGACCAAGAAGCCCCGGCUAAAUACGUGCCAGCAGCCGCGGUAAUACGUAUGGGGCAAGCGUUAUCCGGAUUUACUGGGUGUAAAGGGAGCGUAGGCGGCAGAGCAAGUCUGAAGUGAAAGCCCGCGGCCCAACUGCGGGACUGCUUUGGAAACUGCCCGGCUAGAGUGCUGGAGAGGG